Molecule: ribosomal RNA, 253 nt
Filed under: uncultured bacterium
Lineage: Bacteria
Description: partial 16S ribosomal RNA
Rfam family: Bacterial small subunit ribosomal RNA
Source: RNAcentral
UACGGAGGGUGCAAGCGUUGCUCGGAAUUAUUGGGCGUAAAGGGCAGGUAGGUGGUCUCAUUUGUCUGGGGUGAAAGCCUUGAGCUUAACUCAAGAAGUGCCCCAGAAACGGUGAGACUGGAGUCCUAGAGAGGGUCGUGGAAUUCCCGGUGUAGCGGUGAAAUGCGUAGAGAUCGGGAGGAACACCAGAGGCGAAGGCGGCGACCUGGAUAGGUACUGACACUCAACUGCGAAAGCGUGGGGAGCAAACAGG